RNAcentral lists this ribosomal RNA (306 nucleotides) under uncultured bacterium. RNAcentral describes it as "partial 16S ribosomal RNA". It matches the Rfam family "Bacterial small subunit ribosomal RNA", at positions 507 to 808 of the family's 1533-position model. The record is from RNAcentral.
GACAGCAGCAGCCACGGGAAUACGUAGGCCCCGAGCGUUGUCCGGAUUUAUUGGGCGUAAAGCGAGCGCAGGCGGUUAGAUAAGUCUGAAGUUAAAGGCUGUGGCUUAACCAUAGUACGCUUUGGAAACUGUUUAACUUGAGUGCAAGAGGGGAGAGUGGAAUUCCAUGUGUAGCGGUGAAAUGCGUAGAUAUAUGGAGGAACACCGGUGGCGAAAGCGGCUCUCUGGCUUGUAACUGACGCUGAGGCUCGAAAGCGUGGGGAGCAAACAGGAUUAGAUACCCGCGUAGUCCCUGUCUCUUAUACA